This 475-nucleotide ribosomal RNA is filed under the name uncultured organism. Its description in RNAcentral is "partial 16S ribosomal RNA". It matches the Rfam family "Bacterial small subunit ribosomal RNA", at positions 333 to 799 of the family's 1533-position model. The record is from RNAcentral.
ACACUCCUGCGGGAGGCAGCAGUGGGGAAUUUUGGACAAUGGGCGAAAGCCUGAUCCAGCAAUGCCGCGUGUGUGAAGAAGGCCUUCGGGUUGUAAAGCACUUUUGUCCGGAAAGAAAUCCUUGGCUCUAAUACAGUCGGGGGAUGACGGUACCGGAAGAAUAAGCACCGGCUAACUACGUGCCAGCAGCCGCGGUAAUACGUAGGGUGCGAGCGUUAAUCGGAAUUACUGGGCGUAAAGCGUGCGCAGGCAGUUUGCUAAGACCGAUGUGAAAUCCCCGGGCUCAACCUGGGAACUGCAUUGGUGACUGGCAGGCUAGAGUAUGGCAGAGGGGGGUAGAAUUCCACGUGUAGCAGUGAAAUGCGUAGAGAUGUGGAGGAAUACCGAUGGCGAAGGCAGCCCCCUGGGCCAAUACUGACGCUCAUGCACGAAAGCGUGGGGAGCAAACAGGAUUAGAUAUCCUGGUAGUCCCAUG